This is an unclassified non-coding RNA of Otolemur garnettii (small-eared galago), 109 nucleotides long. It matches the Rfam family "Y RNA". From Rfam's summary of the family: Y RNAs are components of the Ro ribonucleoprotein particle (Ro RNP), in association with Ro60 and La proteins. The Y RNAs and Ro60 and La proteins are well conserved, but the function of the Ro RNP is not known. The record is from Ensembl. NCBI's taxonomy places the organism in Eukaryota, Metazoa, Chordata, Mammalia, Primates, Galagidae.
GGCUGGUCCGAAGGUAGUGAGUUAUCUGAAUCAUUCACAGUCAUUUGCAGAUUGAACUCCUUGUUCUACUCUUUCCCCUCUUCUUAUUACUGCACUAGUCUAGUCUUAA